GAUGAACGCUAGCUACAGGCUUAACACAUGCAAGUCGCGGGGCAGCAUGUAUCUGGCUUGCCAGAUACGAUGGCGACCGGCGCACGGGUGAGUAACGCGUAUCCAACCUGCCCAUAACCACGGCACAGCCCGUCGAAAGGCGGAUUAAUGCCGUAUGAGGUUCCAGUGUAGCAUUAUGGUGGAACGAAAGGAUUUGGCGGUUAUGGAUGGGGAUGCGUCCGAUUAGCUUGUUGGCGGGGUAACGGCCCACCAAGGCAACGAUCAGUAGGGGUUCUGAGAGGAAGGUCCCCCACAUUGGAACUGAGACACGGUCCAAACUCCUACGGGAGGCAGCAGUGAGGAAUAUUGGUCAAUGGGCGAGAGCCUGAACCAGCCAAGUAGCGUGCAGGAAGACGGCCCUAUGGGUUGUAAGCUGCUUUUAUAGGGGAAUAAAGUGAGCCACGUGUGGCCUUUUGCAGGUACCGCAUGAAUAGGACCGGCUAAUUCCGUGCCAG
Molecule: ribosomal RNA, 494 nt
Filed under: uncultured bacterium
Lineage: Bacteria
Description: bacterial SSU rRNA
Rfam family: Bacterial small subunit ribosomal RNA
Source: RNAcentral